ACGCUCGACACCUACGGAGGCAGCAGUGGGGAAUAUUGCACAAUGGGGGAAACCCUGAUGCAGCGACGCCGCGUGGAGGAAGAAGGUCUUCGGAUUGUAAACUCCUGUUGUUGGGGAAAAAGAGGAUGGUACCCAACAAGGAAGUGACGGCUAACUACGUGCCAGCAGCCGGGUAAUCUGAGCGGGCUGGCAAGGC
Molecule: ribosomal RNA, 196 nt
Filed under: uncultured bacterium
Lineage: Bacteria
Description: partial 16S ribosomal RNA
Rfam family: Bacterial small subunit ribosomal RNA
Source: RNAcentral